This 404-nucleotide ribosomal RNA is filed under the name uncultured prokaryote. RNAcentral's name for it is "bacterial SSU rRNA". It matches the Rfam family "Bacterial small subunit ribosomal RNA", at positions 355 to 776 of the family's 1533-position model. The record is from RNAcentral. RNAcentral also lists the same sequence under 1 other name.
UAGGGAAUUUUCCGCAAUGGGCGAAAGCCUGACGGAGCAACGCCGCGUGAGGGAUGAAGGUCUUCGGAUCGUAAACCUUUGUCUAGAGGGACGAUAAUGACGGUACCUCUGGAGGAAGCCACGGCUAACUACGUGCCAGCAGCCGCGGUAAUACGUAGGUGGCAAGCGUUGUCCGGAAUUACUGGGCGUAAAGGGCGUGUAGGCGGUUUUUUAAGUCAGACGUGAAAUCGAUGGGCUUAACCCAUCAAUUGCGUUUGAAACUGGAAGACUUGAGGAUCGGAGAGGGCAGUGGAAUUCCCAGUGUAGCGGUGAAAUGCGUAGAUAUUGGGAGGAACACCAGUGGCGAAGGCGACUGCCUGGACGACACCUGACGCUGAGGCGCGAAAGCUAGGGGAGCAAACGGG